Molecule: long non-coding RNA, 1424 nt
Filed under: Olea europaea subsp. europaea
Lineage: Eukaryota; Viridiplantae; Streptophyta; Magnoliopsida; Lamiales; Oleaceae
Source: RNAcentral
CAAAAGUCCACAGAUAUAGUUAACCAAGUAGAUAAAUCUGAGUUUGAUCCCAUAUCUGAUAUGGGACAUACUUUGAAUCAGGAAGUAAAGUCUUCUGAGGACAUGACAGCUCUAUGUGAAUCUAGUAGGCCCAUUCGACCUUCAAGAAGGUGCGAAGUAUUAAUCAGUGAUCCAGGAUAAUGAACCUGCUAGUUGCAACAAAAUAAAGUCAAGCGUUGACUUAAAAGAGACAGUAAGAGGCCAUGAAACUCGAGAUGAAACUCGACGCAAGUGAACAAGGUUUGGACCUUGGUCAAGCCUCCUAAUGGAAUAAAGCCCAUAAGCUUUUGUAAAUAGUUUACAAAAGAAAAGGUUGAUAUGGAUAUGAAUAUCCAUAUAUACAAAGCAAUGCUAGAAGCAAAGGUUAAGAGUUGACCUUGGUGAAACUUUUCUCCUGUGACCUUGCUAAAGUCCAUUCGGGUUUUAUUUGCAACUGUUGCAUAUCGUAACUAAAGAUUAAGAUAAGUCUUUAUGGAGUUGAAAUCUUCGAUUUGAUGAAAAAGUCAAAGUGUUUGAUUUUAUCAAAUUUGAAGACGAAUUGUGUGUUUACAAGAAGAUAGUGGGAGCAUUUUUCGUAUUCCUAAAACGACAUCGCUAUAUUUCAAUCGUUGAAAUAAUGGUUGUUAAAAGAUUUAUUCAUAAAUGAUAUGGGAUAAGCAACUUGAUCUAUAGAGGUAGAUCUAGAAGAUUGCUUAACUCAUCCCAAUUUACAUAGAUGAAAUCUUGAGAAGAUUUCAUAUGGAGAAACUGGUUUACUCUUAAGCGGUAUGUUGGAAAGGUUCCAAACGUGGAGCAACCGUUGAUUUAAUAGUAGAAACCUAAUACAUGGAUACUUUAGAAGUAGCAAAGAGUUGCAAUAUGGAUCAUAAUAUUCAUAAAUGAACUUGGAGUAGUUCCUGAUAUUGUUGAUCACAUACAAUAGUAUUGUGAUAACAAUAGAGCCAUUACGAAAACAAAGGAACUAAGGUCUCAUCAAUGAUUCAAACAUGUAUUAAAACGGUAUAAUCUCAUCAGAGAGAUAAUACAUAGAAAUGACGUAAAGAGAAGAGCAAAUUUCCACAUUUAAUAAAAUUGCAGAUCCACUGACAAAGAGUUGUCGUAGUAUAAACAUGAUCGUCAUGUAGACUUAUGAUAUUUGAUACAUAAGUGAUUGGAUCUAGUGCAAGUGGGAGUUUGUAAGUAUUAUGCCCUAGGUCCAAUCGACUUUGGACAUAAAUACUUUUAUAUAUAAUUAAUGCAAUUAAAUGGCAGAUCUAUUAUUUAAUUAAUAGACAAUUAAAUAAAUAAUAGAGUCCGUAGAUUCAAAUAUUUGUAAUUUAUUAAUCACAAGGAGUUGUGAUUGUGAGAUACAAAUUACAUCUGAUUGAAUCUUAAAUCAUCCGUGG